RNAcentral lists this ribosomal RNA (301 nucleotides) under uncultured bacterium. RNAcentral's name for it is "partial 16S ribosomal RNA". It matches the Rfam family "Bacterial small subunit ribosomal RNA", at positions 509 to 809 of the family's 1533-position model. The record is from RNAcentral.
CAGUCGCCGCGGUAAUACGGAGGGGGCUAGCGUUGUUCGGAAUUACUGGGCGUAAAGCGCACGUAGGCGGCUGUGUAAGUCAGAGGUGAAAGCCCGGGGCUCAACCCCGGAAUAGCCUUUGAGACUGCAUAGCUUGAACACGGGAGAGGUGAGUGGAAUUCCGAGUGUAGAGGUGAAAUUCGUAGAUAUUCGGAAGAACACCAGUGGCGAAGGCGGCUCACUGGACCGUUGUUGACGCUGAGGUGCGAAAGCGUGGGGAGCAAACAGGAUUAGAUACCCCCGUAGUCCCUGUCUCUUAUAA